CCCGUCCCGUCCUAAACCCACUCCCAACUCCAGUCGUCCAGUUCAGUCGACCUCUCCAGUUCGUAUUCGAUUCCUUCUCCAGUUCGUCGCCUCCUCCAGUCCUCCUCCUCUAAAAUCUGGCAGAGCUCGGCUUCUCCACUUCAAGUCUCAGAGAUCAAGACAUCAAUUUCGUUUAAUUGAAUGUUGUAUUGGAUUGAUGAUUUCAUGGAUUGAAGAAUGAAGGUUGUCUCUUGGUCUGGAAAUCUGGUAUGCAGCUCUGAUUUCUCUCCGUCUUCUUGGUUCUACAAUUUCUGGGUUCUGCACUUCUGCACUUCUGGGUUCUGCACUUCUGCAGUUCACUCGACUUAAAUCUGGUCAGUGCCUCAGUGGGUUUACUUAAAAUUGUGCAAUUGAGUUUUUGCAGCAAAUAUGAGUUUCUGCAGCAAAUAUGGCAUUCUGCUGUGUAAAUGUGCAAUUGAGUCUACUGCUUUCUGAGGUAUUUUUUUUCUUUUCUGUUCAUUGUGCAUCAGUGCAUAUAAUUUAUAUUGU
This is a long non-coding RNA of Rosa rugosa (rugosa rose), 528 nucleotides long. RefSeq lists it as uncharacterized. Lineage: Eukaryota; Viridiplantae; Streptophyta; Magnoliopsida; Rosales; Rosaceae. The record is from RefSeq and is a predicted model, not a curated record. The transcript has 3 exons.